RNAcentral lists this ribosomal RNA (253 nucleotides) under uncultured bacterium. RNAcentral describes it as "partial 16S ribosomal RNA". It matches the Rfam family "Bacterial small subunit ribosomal RNA", at positions 524 to 776 of the family's 1533-position model. The record is from RNAcentral.
UACGUAGGGGGCAAGCGUUGUCCGGAUUUAUUGGGCGUAAAGAGCGUGUAGGCGGCCAGGUAGGUCUGCUGUGAAAACUCGAGGCUUAACCUCGAGAUGUCGGCGGAAACCAUCUGGCUAGAGUCCGGAAGAGGAGAGCGGAAUUCCUGGUGUAGCGGUGUAAUGCGCAGAUAUCAGGAGGAACACCCGUGGCGAAGGCGGCUCUCUGGGACGGUACUGACGCUGAGGCGCGAAAGCUAGGGGAGCAAACGGG